Molecule: long non-coding RNA, 784 nt
Organism: Gallus gallus (chicken)
Lineage: Eukaryota; Metazoa; Chordata; Aves; Galliformes; Phasianidae
Source: Ensembl
GUCCCAUCCCAGAGAAAGCUGCAGCUCAGCAGUGGAACAAGUGAUUUCUCUGUAGAUGAGAUUUGAAGACAAGUGCUUUGUGACUGAUACAACAGAGAGAGCAGAGACCGUGUUGGGAUGCAGGACUGGGGAUGAUGUUGUCAUAGUGAUGAAUCAAAACUAUCUUUGCAGAAAUAUGAACAGAUGUUAGUGGCUCUUGCUGAGACCAGAGAAGAGGACUUUGAAGCAGUCAGAGUAAUAAGAGCCCAGAUUACUGCUGUAGCUGUAUGAAUGGAAAACAGCAGAAGGCAAAAGACCAAAGAGGAAUGAGCUCUGAGGCUAAAGAGACUGGAGACUGCUGAGUAGCUACAGACAGGGAGGUCUGCAGUCCCUGCUAAGGACCACUCACCAAGAACAGACCUGGAGCAACCAUGAUUUCAUCCUCACUCAAGUUCUGUGUAGAAUUACUGCCCUAUCAUCUGUAAAGAUCUCUGAUAGCCUCAACUGUGUAACAUUUCCAGUUUUAUUUACUGGGGUGUUUUGUUGUGUUUUGUUUGUUUGUUGUUUUAUCCUGUUUGUCAGAUGCUAUUUUGCUCUUAGGCAGCUUCUUGUGUCAACUAUUUUACCCUUUUUUUCUGAAUAGCAAAUCUUUUCCAUACAUUUACUUACUGUCACCAUUUAAAAAUCACUUUUCCCAUUUAGUAUCUCAGGGUACAAUACUCAUGCGUGUCAUAAACGACUGCUUAGUCUGGUGUUCACUCAAUACAGUUAAACUAUUUUUCCAAGAGUAGCUAAGGUAUUGUCC